GACGAACGCUGGCGGCGUGCUUAACACAUGCAAGUCGAACGGAAAGGCCCUGCUUUUGUGGGGUGCUCAAGUGGCGAACGGGUGAGUAACACGUGAGUAACCUGCCCUUGACUUUGGGAUAACUUCGGGAAACUGGGGCUAAUACCGGAUAGGAGCUCCUGCUGCAUGGUGGGGGUUGGAAAGCUUCGGCGGUUGGGGAUGGACUCGCGGCUUAUCAGCUUGUUGGUGGGGUAGUGGCUUACCAAGGCUUUGACGGGUAGCCGGCCUGAGAGGGUGACCGGCCACAUUGGGUCUGAGAUACGGCCCAGACUCCUACGGGAGGCAGCAGUGGGGAAUAUUGCACAAUGGGCGGAAGCCUGAUGCAGCAACGCCGCGUGCGGGAUGACGGCCUUCGGGUUGUAAACCGCUUUCGCCUGUGACGAAGCGUGAGUGACGGUAAUGGGUAAAGAAGCACCGGCUAACUACGUG
This 468-nucleotide ribosomal RNA is filed under the name uncultured bacterium. RNAcentral's name for it is "partial 16S ribosomal RNA". It matches the Rfam family "Bacterial small subunit ribosomal RNA", at positions 28 to 507 of the family's 1533-position model. The record is from RNAcentral.